AUACGUAGGGAGCGAGCGUUGUCCGGAAUUACUGGGCGUAAAGGGCGCGUAGGCGGCGCUUCAAGUCGUCUGUCAAAUGGGAGGGCUUAACCCUUUUUCGCAGACGAAACUGGAGAGCUUGAGAAGCAGAGAGGCAAACAGAAUUCCUGGUGUAGCGGUGAAAUGCGUAGAUAUCAGGAAGAAUACCAGUGGCGAAGGCGGUUUGCUGGCUGCAUACUGACGCUGAAGCGCGAAAGUUAGGGGAGCAAACGGGAUUAGAUACCCCGGUAGUCCUGGCAGUAAACGAUGUAUGCUGGGUGUGAGACUAGCGAUAGUUUCGUGCCGAAGUUAACGCGAUAAGCAUACCGCCUGGGGAGUACGGUCGCAAGAUUGAAACUCAAAUGAAUUGGCGGGG
Molecule: ribosomal RNA, 394 nt
Filed under: uncultured bacterium
Lineage: Bacteria
Description: partial 16S ribosomal RNA
Rfam family: Bacterial small subunit ribosomal RNA
Source: RNAcentral